RNAcentral lists this ribosomal RNA (253 nucleotides) under uncultured bacterium. RNAcentral describes it as "partial 16S ribosomal RNA". It matches the Rfam family "Bacterial small subunit ribosomal RNA", at positions 524 to 776 of the family's 1533-position model. The record is from RNAcentral.
GACGAACCGUGCAAACGUUGUUCGGAAUCACUGGGCUUAAAGGGCGCGUAGGCGGGCUGUCAAGUCUGGGGUGAAAUGCCACGGCUCAACCGUGGAACUGCCUCAGAUACUGACGGCCUCGAGGGAGGGAGGGGCGUGCGGAACUGUAGGUGGAGCGGUGAAAUGCGUUGAUAUCUACAGGAACUCCGGUGGCGAAAGCGGCGCGCUGGACCUCUUCUGACGCUGAGGCGCGAAAGCUAGGGGAGCAAACGGG